This 1877-nucleotide ribosomal RNA is filed under the name Escherichia coli. Its description in RNAcentral is "partial 23S ribosomal RNA". It matches the Rfam family "Bacterial large subunit ribosomal RNA", at positions 987 to 2843 of the family's 2925-position model. Lineage: Bacteria; Pseudomonadati; Pseudomonadota; Gammaproteobacteria; Enterobacterales; Enterobacteriaceae. The record is from RNAcentral.
CACGGCGGGUGCUAACGUCCGUCGUGAAGAGGGAAACAACCCAGACCGCCAGCUAAGGUCCCAAAGUCAUGGUUAAGUGGGAAACGAUGUGGGAAGGCCCAGACAGCCAGGAUGUUGGCUUAGAAGCAGCCAUCAUUUAAAGAAAGCGUAAUAGCUCACUGGUCGAGUCGGCCUGCGCGGAAGAUGUAACGGGGCUAAACCAUGCACCGAAGCUGCGGCAGCGACGCUGAUGCGUUGUUGGGUAGGGGAGCGUUCUGUAAGCCUGUGAAGGUGUGCUGUGAGGCAUGCUGGAGGUAUCAGAAGUGCGAAUGCUGACAUAAGUAACGAUAAAGCGGGUGAAAAGCCCGCUCGCCGGAAGACCAAGGGUUCCUGUCCAACGUUAAUCGGGGCAGGGUGAGUCGACCCCUAAGGCGAGGCCGAAAGGCGUAGUCGAUGGGAAACAGGUUAAUAUUCCUGUACUUGGUGUUACUGCGAAGGGGGGACGGAGAAGGCUAUGUUGGCCGGGCGACGGUUGUCCCGGUUUAAGCGUGUAGGCUGGUUUUCCAGGCAAAUCCGGAAAACUAAGGCUGAGGCGUGAUGACGAGGCACUACGGUGCUGAAGCAACAAAUGCCCUGCUUCCAGGAAAAGCCUCUAAGCAUCAGGUAACAUCAAAUCGUACCCCAAACCGACACAGGUGGUCAGGUAGAGAAUACCAAGGCGCUUGAGAGAACUCGGGUGAAGGAACUAGGCAAAAUGGUGCCGUAACUUCGGGAGAAGGCACGCUGAUAUGUAGGUGAAGUCCCUCGCGGAUGGAGCUGAAAUCAGUCGAAGAUACCAGCUGGCUGCAACUGUUUAUUAAAAACACAGCACUGUGCAAACACGAAAGUGGACGUAUACGGUGUGACGCCUGCCCGGUGCCGGAAGGUUAAUUGAUGGGGUCAGCGCAAGCGAAGCUCUUGAUCGAAGCCCCGGUAAACGGCGGCCGUAACUAUAACGGUCCUAAGGUAGCGAAAUUCCUUGUCGGGUAAGUUCCGACCUGCACGAAUGGCGUAAUGAUGGCCAGGCUGUCUCCACCCGAGACUCAGUGAAAUUGAACUCGCUGUGAAGAUGCAGUGUACCCGCGGCAAGACGGAAAGACCCCGUGAACCUUUACUAUAGCUUGACACUGAACAUUGAGCCUUGAUGUGUAGGAUAGGUGGGAGGCUUUGAAGUGUGGACGCCAGUCUGCAUGGAGCCGACCUUGAAAUACCACCCUUUAAUGUUUGAUGUUCUAACGUUGACCCGUAAUCCGGGUUGCGGACAGUGUCUGGUGGGUAGUUUGACUGGGGCGGUCUCCUCCUAAAGAGUAACGGAGGAGCACGAAGGUUGGCUAAUCCUGGUCGGACAUCAGGAGGUUAGUGCAAUGGCAUAAGCCAGCUUGACUGCGAGCGUGACGGCGCGAGCAGGUGCGAAAGCAGGUCAUAGUGAUCCGGUGGUUCUGAAUGGAAGGGCCAUCGCUCAACGGAUAAAAGGUACUCCGGGGAUAACAGGCUGAUACCGCCCAAGAGUUCAUAUCGACGGCGGUGUUUGGCACCUCGAUGUCGGCUCAUCACAUCCUGGGGCUGAAGUAGGUCCCAAGGGUAUGGCUGUUCGCCAUUUAAAGUGGUACGCGAGCUGGGUUUAGAACGUCGUGAGACAGUUCGGUCCCUAUCUGCCGUGGGCGCUGGAGAACUGAGGGGGGCUGCUCCUAGUACGAGAGGACCGGAGUGGACGCAUCACUGGUGUUCGGGUUGUCAUGCCAAUGGCACUGCCCGGUAGCUAAAUGCGGAAGAGAUAAGUGCUGAAAGCAUCUAAGCACGAAACUUGCCCCGAGAUGAGUUCUCCCUGACUCCUUGAGAGUCCUGAAGGAACGUUGAAG